UACGUAGGGUGCAAGCGUUAAUCGGAAUUACUGGGCGUAAAGGGCGCGUAGGCGGCCCGCUAAGUCGAACGUGAAAUCCCCAGGCUCAACCUGGGAACUGUGUCUGAUACUGGAUGGCUUGAAUCCGGGAGAGGGAUGCAGAAUUCCAGGUGUAGCGGUGAAAUGCGUAGAUAUCUGGAGGAAUACCGGUGGCGAAGGCGGCAUCCUGGACCGGCAUUGACGCUGAGGAGCGAAAGCCAGGGGAGCAAACGGG
RNAcentral lists this ribosomal RNA (253 nucleotides) under uncultured bacterium. Its description in RNAcentral is "partial 16S ribosomal RNA". It matches the Rfam family "Bacterial small subunit ribosomal RNA", at positions 524 to 776 of the family's 1533-position model. The record is from RNAcentral.